This 707-nucleotide long non-coding RNA is filed under the name Medicago truncatula (barrel medic). Its description in RNAcentral is "long non-coding RNA (MTRU_LNC003588)". The record is from RNAcentral. Lineage: Eukaryota; Viridiplantae; Streptophyta; Magnoliopsida; Fabales; Fabaceae.
AAGAAUACAAAACAAAAAUUGAGGUAGAUAUGGAUAAAUAUUGGGGAAGGAAUGGAGGGGGUGGAUACAGGGGAGGAGAACAUUAUGAUGUAGAUAUGGGAGGUUGGUUAGGAAGAGGAACACCUAGAAGACGAGGAAAUGGAGGACCUGGAGGAGAAGGUGGAGGAGGAGGAAACAAAGGAGGUUCAAAAGGAAGUGAAAAUAAAGAACCUGGAGGAGGAGGAGGAGGAGGUGGUGGUUCAAAAGGAAGUGAAAAUAAAGAACCUAGAGAAGGAGGAGGAGGAGGAGUAGUUCCCGAAGGACCUGGAGGAAAAGGUCGGGGAGAAACAAAAGGACCUGGAGGAGAAGGCGGAGGGAUCGAAAAUGGCGAUCAUGUGGAACAUCCAUGAAAACCAGAUAGAUGAAUGUGUGUUUUGUAUCACAUGCACUAUAGAAAGAAAAGCUUGGACUCUACUACUCUAUGACUAGUUUAUAAUUGGGUGAACAUCUUUCCCUGAAAUUGAAUACAUUUCACUAAUAUCUUUAUAUUGUACCAUUUAUAUUAGCACAUUUGAAUGAAAAAGUACCACGGUAUUAUGUCAUUAUUUUCUUCAAUUUUGUGGUUUAAUUUCAAUCGUUAUUCUUUUCAUGUUAUAUAAUUGUAUAGUGAUUAAAUUACUAUGAAAUGAUAAUGAGUAUGUUGAGGCUGUUUUUCAUUAGAAAAUAAA